AGGGCACCACCAGGAGUGGAGCCUGCGGCUUAAUUUGACUCAACACGGGAAAACUCACCCGGCCCGGACACUGGAAGGAUUGACAGAUUGAGAGCUCUUUCUUGAUUCACUGGGUGGUGGUGCAUGGCCGUUCUUAGUUGGUGGAGUGAUUUGUCUGGUUAAUUCCGAUAACAAACGAGACUCUAGCCUACUAAAUAGAUAGUCGGCUUACAAACGUCGACUAGACUUCUUAGAGGGACAGGCGGUGAUUCAACCCCACGAAACACAUCAAUAACAGGUCUGUGAUGCCCUUGGAUGUCCGGGGCCGCACGCCCGCUACACUGAAGUGAUCAGCGUGCUUUUUCAGCCUACUCUGUCAAGAGUGGGUAACCCAAUCAACCUUCUUCGUAAUUGGGAUAGGGGAUUGUAACUAUACCCCUUGAACGAGAUAAUUCCCCUGAAACGCGACUCAAAGUUAGUGUUGUUUUUUCCGUGCCCUUUGUACACGCGAGGGCGUCUGUAUUUACUGAUUGAAUGUUU
This 519-nucleotide ribosomal RNA is filed under the name uncultured eukaryote. RNAcentral describes it as "bacterial SSU rRNA". It matches the Rfam family "Eukaryotic small subunit ribosomal RNA", at positions 1161 to 1666 of the family's 1831-position model. The record is from RNAcentral.